GGGCCCGCACAAGCAGUGGAGCAUGUGGUUUAAUUCGAUGAUACGCGAGGAACCUUACCUGGGCUCGAAUGGUAUUGGCUGAUAGCUGAAAGGCUGUUUUCCUUCGGGACUGAUAUCAAGGUGCUGCAUGGCUGUCGUCAGCUCGUGCCGUGAGGUGUUGGUUAAGUCCCGCAACGAGCGCAACCCCUAUUCCUAGUUGCCAGCGGUUCGGCCGGGGACUCUAAAGAAACUGCCCGCGCAAGCGGUGAGGAAGGUGGGGAUGACGUCAAAUCAUCACGGCCCUUACGUCCUGGCCACACACGUGCUACAAUGGCCGGUACAGAGAGCAGCCACGUCGCAAGGCGGAGCGAA
RNAcentral lists this ribosomal RNA (351 nucleotides) under uncultured bacterium. RNAcentral describes it as "bacterial SSU rRNA". It matches the Rfam family "Bacterial small subunit ribosomal RNA", at positions 917 to 1271 of the family's 1533-position model. The record is from RNAcentral.